UCGUGGGGCUUCGGCCCCGUCGAGAUAACACCCUUGCCUUUAUGAGUACCUUGGUUCCCUCCCCCGACCUCCGGGGAGCGGGAGGGACCUCUUUGUUUCCCCGCGUAGCUCGCUACCGGGGACCGCAAAACACGCUGUAAUCACCUGUAACCGUCUGAUAAAACAAACAAAAAUCA
Molecule: unclassified non-coding RNA, 176 nt
Filed under: uncultured fungus
Lineage: Eukaryota; Fungi
Description: sequence contains ITS1, 5.8S rRNA gene
Source: RNAcentral